UAGAGGAAUUGUUUGACGAAGUGGAUUUUGGUUGAUCUAUGACAUAGAGAAAUUGAACUCCGCGAGUGGUGGUAGAACUUGUUGUAUGCUAAAACGCCAAGGUGAUAUGCGAGGCGGGAUAUGAAGAUGGCCAUGUGGAGUAGACUUUUUGGGAGCUCUUUUGAAGAUCACAUAUGCAUAUACAUCUAGUUUUUGUAUAUUAUUUUGGGGACUUGUACAUGAUACAUGUGUGGCACUUAUUUAUGAAAUUUUAAAGGCUUGUAACUUAAACCAAGUGACUAAUUUUGUUAUUUUAGAGUGUGCUUUUAACUCAAGUAAUGCAAUAUACUAGGUCAUAUUUUGACUUGUCAUUAUGCACGAAGGAAGAUAA
Long non-coding RNA from Solanum dulcamara, 370 nucleotides. RefSeq lists it as uncharacterized. NCBI's taxonomy places the organism in Eukaryota, Viridiplantae, Streptophyta, Magnoliopsida, Solanales, Solanaceae. The record is from RefSeq and is a predicted model, not a curated record. The transcript has 2 exons.